RNAcentral lists this unclassified non-coding RNA (681 nucleotides) under Hevea brasiliensis (rubber tree). Lineage: Eukaryota; Viridiplantae; Streptophyta; Magnoliopsida; Malpighiales; Euphorbiaceae. The record is from RNAcentral.
CAGCAUUAUUUGACAGGCGACAGGUAUGAUAAUAUAGUUCAUUAUUAUAUCCUCUGGAUAUCGCUGAAAUUAGAGUCCUAGCUUUUUUAUACAUCUACCAUUACAUGAUUGAAAUCUGUCUGAUGUAUUUUGCCAUUUUGCCUGCAAAUGCUAAAUUCUCUGUUUUAUGUGAUGGUGUUUUACUUGUUUUGCUAUUAGCCUUGCCCUUGCUUGCCAAAUCUCUUUCAAAAUCGUAGCUGACUAUAUUUUUGCCACAGGCAGAGAUGUGAAACGGUGGAUGGAAUGAUGCAUUAUGCAUUAUCUAUUAGCAACAAGGACAGAUAGUAGAAACCAUAGAUUCAGAAAUUGAGUUGUUUGUGUGGUCCGAUGAAAAUUAAAGAUCUGUAGAUGGUGGUGUGAGGUUUUGAAGUUGUAAAUUGUGCAGGGUAAUAUAAAUUUAACGAUAAAAAAAAAAAAAAAAUUAUGGUGGCAUGAUCAGGAUUGAUGUGGUCAGCACCUUUGGGCCUGAACUUUACGUUGGUUAGCUUGUUAUUGGUGAUUUGGGCACCAUUAUUGAUGCAAUCCCCUUGUUCUCCUUGAUUGGCUUCUCCAAAGCUUUUGUGGUUGUAAAAAUUGCCUCCUGGCAUGUUGGCUUAUGGAAAAUUUCUUUUCUGUUGGCAGGAUUAUGUGAAGCGGCAAACU